CAAUAGCGUAUAUUUAAGUUGUUGCAGUUAAAAAGCUCGUAGUUGGAUUUCGGGUGUGAACGACCGGUCCGUCUUUGAUGUGUACUGGUUGGUUGCGCCUUAUUGUCGAGGACGUGGUUCUAGCUUUCAUUAGCCGGGACACGGAGUCGGCAGCGUUACUUUGAGAAAAUUAGAGUGUUCAAAGCAGGCUAUCGCUCUGAAUACAUUAGCAUGGAAUAACACGAUAGGACUCUGGCCUAUCUUGUUGGUCUGUAGGACCGGAGUAAUGAUUAAGAGGGACAGUCGGGGGCAUUCGUAUUUCAUUGUCAGAGGUGAAAUUCUUGGAUUUAUGAAAGACGAACUACUGCGAAAGCAUUUGCCAAGGAUGUUUUCAUUAA
This 377-nucleotide ribosomal RNA is filed under the name uncultured eukaryote. RNAcentral describes it as "partial 18S ribosomal RNA". It matches the Rfam family "Eukaryotic small subunit ribosomal RNA", at positions 592 to 976 of the family's 1831-position model. The record is from RNAcentral.